CCUACGGGAGGCAGCAGUGAGGAAUAUUGGUCAAUGGACGAGAGUCUGAACCAGCCACGUAGCGUGAAGGAUGACUGCCCUAUGGGUUGUAAACUUCUUUUAUAUGGGAAUAAAAUGUUCCACGUGUGGGAUUUUGUAUGUACCAUAUGAAUAAGGAUCGGCUAACUCCGUGCCAGCAGCAGCGGUAAUACGGAGGAUCCGAGCGUUAUCCGGAUUUAUUGGGUUUAAAGGGAGCGUAGGUGGAUUGUUAAGUCAGUUGUGAAAGUUUGCGGCUCAACCGUAAAAUUGCAGUUGAAACUGGCAGUCUUGAGUACAGUAGAGGUGGGCGGAAUUCGUGGUGUAGCGGUGAAAUGCUUAGAUAUCACGAAGAACUCCGAUUGCGAAGGCAGUUCACUGGACUGCAACUGACACUGAGGCUCGAAAGUGUGGGUAUCAAACAGGAUUAGAUACCCCAGUAGUC
This 460-nucleotide ribosomal RNA is filed under the name uncultured bacterium. Its description in RNAcentral is "partial 16S ribosomal RNA". It matches the Rfam family "Bacterial small subunit ribosomal RNA", at positions 338 to 795 of the family's 1533-position model. The record is from RNAcentral.